AUUGAACGCUGGCGGCAGGCCUAACACAUCCAAGUCGAACGGUAACAGGAGACAGCUUGCUGUUUCGCUGACGAGUGGCGGACGGGUGAGUAAUGUCUGGGAAACUGCCUGAUGGAGGGGGAUAACUACUGGAAACGGUAGCUAAUACCGCAUAACGUCGCAAGACCAAAGAGGGGGACCUUCGGGCCUCUUGCCAUCGGAUGUGCCCAGAUGGGAUUAGCUAGUAGGUGGGGUAACGGCUCACCUAGGCGACGAUCCCUAGCUGGUCUGAGAGGAUGACCAGCCACACUGGAACUGAGACACGGUCCAGACUCCUACGGGAGGCAGCAGUGGGGAAUAUUGCACAAUGGGCGCAAGCCUGAUGCAGCCAUGCCGCGUGUAUGAAGAAGGCCUUCGGGUUGUAAAGUACUUUCAGCGGGGAGGAAGGGAGUAAAGUUAAUACCUUUACUCAUUGACGUUACCCGCAGAAGAAGCACCGGCUAACUCCGUG
This 490-nucleotide ribosomal RNA is filed under the name uncultured bacterium. Its description in RNAcentral is "partial 16S ribosomal RNA". It matches the Rfam family "Bacterial small subunit ribosomal RNA", at positions 30 to 507 of the family's 1533-position model. The record is from RNAcentral.